This 253-nucleotide ribosomal RNA is filed under the name uncultured bacterium. RNAcentral describes it as "partial 16S ribosomal RNA". It matches the Rfam family "Bacterial small subunit ribosomal RNA", at positions 524 to 776 of the family's 1533-position model. The record is from RNAcentral.
UACGUAGGGUGCGAGCGUUAAUCGGAAUUACUGGGCGUAAAGCGUGCGCAGGCGGUUCGUUAUGUCCGAUGUGAAAGCCCCGAGCUUAACUUGGGAAUGGCAUUGGAAACUGGCGGGCUGGAGUGCGGCAGAGGGGGGUGGAAUUCCACGUGUAGCAGUGAAAUGCGUAGAGAUGUGGAGGAACACCGAUGGCGAAGGCAAUCCCCUGGGCCUGCACUGACGCUCAUGCACGAAAGCGUGGGGAGCAAACAGG